Molecule: long non-coding RNA, 733 nt
Filed under: Homo sapiens (human)
Lineage: Eukaryota; Metazoa; Chordata; Mammalia; Primates; Hominidae
Description: HSALNT0350261
Source: RNAcentral
CUUAUUUUAGCACCCUGCAGCCUCGCAGUGGGCAGGAGACGCCCCGCCGCCCCGAGCUGAGUUCAUCUUCCCGAAACCCCCGGAGCCGCGGGCAUCUCACCACGCUGCUCUGAGAAUAGCCCGGGAGCAACAGGGCCGGCGGCUGGUUUCUGCAUCAAUUCUCCUCCCCCUAGUAACGGCUCUGAAAACGCGGAGACACGGAGAGCAGAAAACGAAAUUUUAAUGUACUGUGGCGUGAACUUCUGGAAAAGGGUCUCCAGCACAAGAACUCAGUUCAAUGACUUAAAAUAAAUGGGCGGGGUUGGAGGGGUGGGGGCAGAAGAAACUAGCUGCUUAAGAGUAACGGGAGCACUGAAGAAGGAUUCCUGCAGAAAGCGAGCCGCCGAACAUGCUGUUUAUUGCACUUAAGGCACCUGAGCAUGUUGGUGUGGACGCGCUGGCUUGUUGAAUUUUCCUUAUUUUUCUUUUUAAAGGUAUUUUUCCCUCCUUCUUUCUCCAUGGUGACAGCCAUUUUGCCACCAGGGAAGGAAUAUGGAACACCACCUAUGAUUCUCUGCAUGGACCGUGGCUCUGCCUUCACUUCUGCUGACCCCUUUGCUCAGAAUUCAUGUAUUUGUGUUUUUCACUUGGCUGACUUCGUCUCAAAUAAAGCCAAGAAGAAUCAUCAUCUCUUCCAGGAAGGUUUCUCUACCUAUCUCCCUGUCCCGCCCUCCACCUCCUUGCCCCAGGUUUU